Brassica rapa (field mustard) is the source of this 5353-nucleotide RNA transcript. RefSeq lists it as uncharacterized. The record is from RefSeq and is a predicted model, not a curated record. NCBI's taxonomy places the organism in Eukaryota, Viridiplantae, Streptophyta, Magnoliopsida, Brassicales, Brassicaceae.
UGAUUUUUUGUCAUUAUUAAGUCAUUUUUGAUUUAAAGAAUAAGAAAUAAAAUUUCUACAGUAUUUGUAUAUUCAUAGUUCAUAUUCAUAAUAAAAUUACUACACCAAUUAAUAAAUAUAAACUAACUUAAUCCAUUUACUAUUUAUUUAUAAAUUAUAAAAUUAAAAUAAUUACAUAUACGGAAUAACAUACAUUCAUAAAUUUACAUCCUUUAAUAUUAAAAUAAGAUAUUAAAUUUAAAUAUAUAAAAUACUAAAUAACAAUUUUAAUAUAAUAUUUGAAUUAGAAUAUUAAAAGAUAAUUUAAUAUGUUUGAAUUUGUAUAUACUUAAAAUACUAAAUUUAGUUUUUUUAAAGGAAAAUACUAAAUUUAGUUGAUAUUAAUAUUAUUUAAUUAUCUGGUACAUUGAACUAUACGUCAUGUUUUACAAUUACAGUUUUUUAAGGAUGAUUUCAUAAAUAUGGGAAUAUUUUAUUAAGUAUAAGACGGGUUGAAUAACAUAUAUUUAAUCUUUAUUGUAAUAAAAUAUAUAUUGACUAAUAUAAUAAGUUAAAAAUAAACUCAUACUAUAAUUUUAAUUCUUUAAAAUAUAAGUAAAAUUAUUACGAGAUAAGUUAUAUAAAUAAUUUUUAUUUAUUCUUAUAAAAUAUAUUUAUAUAAAUUUCAGUUUAGUUAUCUAUACUUUAAAAUCAAAUUUUAUAAAAAUACACACACACAUAUAUAUAUAUAUAUAUAUAUAUAUAUAUAUAUAUAUAUAUAUAUAAAUAUUUGAAUUUUCAGUAAAUAAUUCUUUAAAUAAAAAUUACUUCCGCGUUUUGAAAGCGCGGACAAAAAUCUAGUUUUAAUUAUGUGCCUUCUUAUAAUUGAUCUUGAAAAGCUAUAAAUAUAUAAGUAAUUUUAAAUUAAUUGUUCUCAAAUAUAAGAAUGGAUGAAGUAAUAUAAGUCUUUAGAUUUAAUACGAUUUGGUUACUGAAAGAAUUAUAAGCUUAUAUUGUUUGAAAAAAAUCCACUUACAUAAUACUAAUCAAUGAAAUACAUAUAUUAGAACUAUAUGUAAACAGUUCUUUUGAUAAUUGUCACACGAUAAUUAGUAAUGAAUAUUCACUAGUGGCAACCACAUAUUAACAUCAAUAUUUCACUAUGACGAAAUCCCAUCUAGGUCAAAUUUUCGACACCUUAAUUAAUAUGAUUACGCAUCAUCUAACGUCACACAUUUUAUACGUCACCAAAAUUACAAAGAAGAAGAAUGGGAACAUAAGAUAAAUUUUUGUUGCACAAAAAAUAUAUAAAUUUUAUCUAAAUAUUUCAUGACAAGCCAAUUCAAAUAGGUGUUUACAUCAAACAUGCUGUUUUAACCCAACACAUUCUUAAAUGAAAUAAAAUUUGUUCUGCCGGAUUCAAAAGGUUCAAGUAGCGUGGACCAACUAUAUUAGAAAAACUAUAGGUUUAAGUAUAUAUACGUCGCCUUUUGUUAAUCUGGCCUUAACCAGACUAUUAUCUUCAUCACGUUUUGUUCUUUAAUUAUUUAUUUGCCUGUUUUAAAAAUCAGUGAAGACUAUUUUUCGCCUGCUUGCCACGUUAUAAACCACAUUCUCGUUGAAUCUUUAUUACCACUUCCCCACGAAUUACAUGUCUUAAUCAUUGACCAUGUUUAUUUAUUACAAGAAGUAAGAACUAAGUACUUUGCCGUCUCUUAAAAUCUUAAAAUCAUUUGAUUCUGAGAUUUGUUUUACACAUGUCAUCUAGCUAGUCUUUUCUAGUUCGGUCAUCAAAGCUAAUAAUUCAGUUUCUCAAAAGAAAAAAAUUCUUCUUCUUCUUCUUCUUCUUUUAGAGUAAUUUUAUUUUUACUUUUUAAGAGAGAAAUAAAUCUAAAAUAAAAGUAUAUAUGUUCGUAAGUGUACUACUGUAAAAACAAAUAUAGUAAUUUACACAAUAGAAAUUACAUGGUCAAAACUAUGUGGACAUAUAAAAUUAAACAACAUUUAAUAAGAUUCUCCAAUUUUGUUUGUCAGAAAUUAUUUAAAAUAUCAAUUAUUCGUCGGCUAAUGUUUUUUGUCAACAUCAUCGACUAAUAUAUUUUACCUUCUCUCUCGUCACAUUGUGCUUGCGCAAUAUAUUUCGUCACAUUAGUGUUGCUUACGUAAAUAUCUUUGCACACCUAAUUUUGAAAAGAAGGCCUUUUAAGAAUUUAAUUUAAUUUUUAUGAAAAUAAAUAUUUAAGAAAAAAAAAGACAGUAAAAAGAGAAAAAUAUUCAGGGUUUUGAUUGGAUAUCACUAGAGUAAUAUAGAAUAAAAGAAAUAGAUAAAAAUAGAAGAAAAAAUGUAAAAAACAAGAAAGAAAAAGCGCAAAUGAGAGAAAAGUUAUUACUGUAGCAAAAUAUAGGUUGUGAUUGAAAAACUUUAGAGUAACAGAGAGGAAAUAAAAAGUGAAAAAUAGAGUAAAUGUUAAAAGGUGAAAAGAGGAAAGAAAAACAAAAACCAGCGAAAAAUAUAUUUUGCUUGUAAAUUCAAAAGUAAUUUUCAAAGUGCUUUUUCACUAAAUCAAUAGUACAAAAAGUAAAAGAGCAAUAAUAAUAGUUUACCUGAUUGGAAACUUUUUACCUGAAUUUAGAGUAAAAUGGUUUUAUUUUCAAAUAUUUACUCUAAAAUGACUAUACAGUCACACCUGCAGAGUAAAAGUGUGAAAAUAUUUACUCUAAAAUAACUAUACAGUCACACUCGUUGAGUAAAAGUAUGAGUAUAUUUUUCACCAUUUAAAUAGUAACUAGAUUAAAAAUGUAAAAGUAAUUUUCCACCUGAUUAGUAAAUUUUUAAUGGACUUUGGAGUAAAUUAAAUUUCAGAGUAAUAAGUUACUCUAGAAAUACUUUCCAGUCACACUCUCAAAUUGAGAUCCUUAAAAAAAUAACAAAAAUCUGGAAUAAUUUGGCACGUCACAUUAUUUUCGUGCUACUCAUUUUUCCAACAGGCCCUCAGCACCUGAGCCGAGCCGUAUUUUCCAGAGUUAAGCCGAACCAAAAGUUUGGCCAACUCGGGUUGGAGAUGAUAACCGAUUGCUUGCUCGGUUCGGUAGUGGUAAACAGAUCGGUUUUGAAUUAAACCAUUAAACCCUAAUUAAACCUCCCUGUGUCUCUCACUGCGUGACCGUGUUCUGAAACUUCCAGACAGCGACUAAUAAACUUCUGUUUCUUGUCAACCAUCGAUUCAUUCCUGUAACUAUAGAUUCUAUAGGUAAGGCUUCUUGAUUUUCUUAGAAUGUGAGUAGUUGAACGAGUCACGCUUGAUGUUUCCUUGGUUUUGAGGUGAGCCGCCCCGUGCCAGUGCGUGUUGGUUCUCUGUGUCUCUUUCAAACUUUGUUACUUGCUUCUAAUAUAAUCAUCAUUCUACUCGUCUCUAGUUCGAAUUUUGUGAAGUUUAUGAGUCUGAGUGAGUGACUUUGAUUCAAGUAUGUAACGAAACUGAAACUUUUAUUGCAGGCUUCAUAAUGGUUUACGUAAAAUAAACGCUAACUUUUAUUGCCUUCGUGGAUUAUAGAUAAGUUUCCAGAGUCAGAAAACACAAUGGAUGAUGAUGAUAUACAAGCCAAAGAUAUAGAGGAGAAGCUGAAGAGUCAGCUUCGUCAGCUUGAAGUCGAGCACGCGGUCUUCGAGAGAAUGGUUUACAAGAAUAAGAGCAUCUCCAAUGUAAAACACCAUUUUUUCCUCCAAAAUGGAGUAAAAGUGAAAAUGAAUUAAAAUUGCUCCAAUCCUACUCCAUUUCCCACUCUAUAAUGGAGUGAUGAACAAACAAAAAAUAGAUUACUCCAUUUAUGGAGUAAACUUCAUUAUGGAGUGAGAUAUGGGGUUGGAUUGGAGCAUUCUUUACUCCAUAAUCACUUUUAAUCCAUUUUAGAGAAAAAAAUGGAGUGGGGAUGGAGAUACCCUAAGAACCAGCAUAGGAGAUGCUCCUAUUUUCACUACCUACUCAAGGUAUCUACUUCGUUUGUUUUUUUUUCGUGAUAAAGAAGGAUUUAUUUCAACUGUUUUCAAUUUUUAUUGCUCAGGGGAGGAGAGAUUUGAGGCUUUUGCGAACAGCAAACAUGGAGGAGAUUCUGAGACCAUGCUUUCAUGUUAUCUCUGGGACAGAAACUUCAUGUUUUGAAGAGGUAGGCUUAUCUUCCAUAUGUUUAUCACUGAUUUAUGAUGAGAGAAUGGAGACUGGAGCAUAGCUGACAUUUUUAGGGUUUAUGCAGCUUGAAGUUGAAUAAAUCUGAUACUGGCAAACCAAAGCUCUUGGACCGACUUCGGGGAGCUCUUCAUCUACUCUCACAGGUACUCUUAUGGAUCUUUCUUUGUUGCUUGGGUAGAGAUCAGCUGUGUAAACAAGCUCAUAGAUAUGAACAAGAUCCGAGUGUUCUGACUGGUCAUUGUGUUUGUUGCAGAUGACUGAACCCAUCUUGAAGGCAGCUAGGUGUAUCAGAACUGUUUGUAUAAUUCCUUUAGAGCUAAUCGCAUUCAACUCUUAAUUGUUUUGUCUUUCAAAUUUUUGUUAACAGUGGGAUAUCCAUUCUGCUGGCUUGUUCAUUUUUCUUAGGAUCUUCUGUGACAUUUUUGGCGCUGCUUUCACGUCUCCGAGUGUUGAUUCAAAAAAUAUUACUUGAUGAUGUUUCAGUUUUCAAUUCGGUAACCUCUACAUCCUUAGAGAAACUGUCUGUAAAAUAGCACAUGAUGGGGUUGAGGUCAGUCUAAGCUUCUGUGUUGGACCCUUUGGUUGAUUUCUUCUUACACACUUUCAGUGAUCAUGUCAGUAACAGGUGUUCCGCGAGUUUUAUCAAUAGGAUGAAGAGUGCACCACCACCUUUUUGGAUUGUGUAUGGAAAAAUGAUAAAUAUGUCUUACUUGAGACAUUGCAAACAUAGGCUUAAAAUUGUUUAGAUCUUCAUAGCUUUAGUGUUUUAAAAUGGUCAAAGGUUAAAGAGUUCAUGUUUUAUUGCUUGAUUGAAUUGUUUAAUUGCAGAAGAUACCUCUCCUUCUCCUCUGCUUGAAGGAGACGAAAACGUUGGUGUUACUGCUUCCGAGAGUUCAACUCCUCUCGCUGAGGCAGCUUCUUCCAAGACUAACAAUGGAUGAUCCCAAAGAGAAGAUUCAGAAAAACCAUAUAUGAUAAAUCUACAAAUCUUGUGAGCCCGGCAAGAAUCAACACCGACACAACUAAACCAAGUUCAGAGCAACAACCAAGGUGGUGGAUUGUCUACCUGUGAAAAGAUCUUCCUCUGCAGUAACACCAAACACCACAGAAGAACCCUCAAAGGAAGAAACAAGAAACAUGCGCGAAAGACAAAAGGGUUAUAACUAUAAAGACAGUUUGUUCUAGCA